Long non-coding RNA from Suricata suricatta (meerkat), 1076 nucleotides. RefSeq lists it as uncharacterized. The record is from RefSeq and is a predicted model, not a curated record. The transcript is spliced from 5 exons. Lineage: Eukaryota; Metazoa; Chordata; Mammalia; Carnivora; Herpestidae.
UCUACCGGGGCCGCCGUCCCCAGCGCCCGCCUUGUGAGGUUCAGGCAGAUCGACGGGAUAGAAGUGGGGCAGGUACUGAUUCAGGUGGAACCUGUGGCGGCUCCUGGAGGCCGAGCCCAGACUCCCGGCGGCGGGCAUGUCCCUCGGGGGGUGUAUGGACUCGAACUGAUCGCCGAACUCCGGAGACAGGCUAACCGCUGGGGUGCUGGCAGACCAGCAGAGAAGCGCAAACCGUCUGCCUGGCCGUUUCCUAGGUGUCCGUGCAAGUCGUACGAGGCCCUCUGCACCAGCGGUCCGGAGGGGGACGCAGCCACAGUCGGGGACACAGCAGGGGCACUGGCGCAUCUGCCACGCGGCGCACGCGCUGCCAGCCGCGGCGUCUCCCAGCCGCUUACUCACCAUUGUCGUCACACGACUCCGACUGGAAGGAGCUGAGCGACUGCACCUCCGACAGGCUCCCCCGGGCGCUGUACGGGCGCGAAGGCUUCUCCUCCAGAGGCUUCUUGGACAGACCGGGAUCGAGAUCCACGACUUUAGCUGAAAGGGAGAGAGGACAACCGUCAGCUCCGAGAGGGCAGGGCCUCCGGCGCUCCAGGAGCCUGCCGGGCGUGCACGUCGUACAGGAACACCUCAAAGCAGAGGCAGCUGGAAACACAAGUGUGCUUGCAGAUUCUCACAACGGGGAUUCUCGGAGAACGCGCCUGCGGAGACCAUUAGCGGCCGAAGUCAGGAGGACCCCUUGCUGGUUCACCUCAAACACUCCGUCGUCAUUCCCGCUCACCACGGAAAAGGAGAACGGUGGGCCGUUAUGCGAGGAGUCCCUGUCGGUCACCACCAACUGCAGGACACUGAAACCCACAGGCUUGUUUUCCUGCAUGUGACAGAACCAAAACACACAGGACCUGCGAUAAAACCAAAUCUACAUGAUGCAUCUACCCUCUACGUCAGUGAUUCCAGCUGGGGGCAGUCCUGUCUAGAUGGACAUGCAACAAUGUCUAGACACAGUUCGGUUAUCACCCUCUGGAGGGGAGCGGGCUAGGAACUCCCACUGCAUGGAGAUCUGGAGAGCCCUCACA